UACAGGCUUAACACAUGCAAGUCGAGGGGCAUCAGGAAGAAAGCUUGCUUUCUUUGCUGGCGACCGGCGCACGGGUGAGUAACACGUAUCCAACCUGCCCUUUACUCGGGGAUAGCCUUUCGAAAGAAAGAUUAAUACCCGAUAGCAUAAUGAUUCCGCAUGGUUUCAUUAUUAAAGGAUUCCGGUAAAGGAUGGGGAUGCGUUCCAUUAGGUUGUUGGUGAGGUAACGGCCCACCAAGCCUUCGAUGGAUAGGGGUUCUGAGAGGAAGGUCCCCCACAUUGGAACUGAGACACGGUCCAAACUCCUACGGGAGGCAGCAGUGAGGAAUAUUGGUCAAUGGGCGCUAGCCUGAACCAGCCAAGUAGCGUGAAGGAUGAAGGCUCUAUGGGUCGUAAACUUCUUUUAUAUAAGAAUAAAGUGCAGUAUGUAUACUGUUUUGUAUGUAUUAUAUGAAUAAGGAUCGGCUAACUCCGUGCCAGCAGCCGCGGUAAUACGGAGGAUCCGAGCGUUAUCCGGAUUUAUUGGGUUUAAAGGGAGCGUAGGUGGACUGGUAAGUCAGUUGUGAAAGUUUGCGGCUCAACCGUAAAAUUGCAGUUGAUACUGUCAGUCUUGAGUACAGUAGAGGUGGGCGGAAUUCGUGGUGUAGCGGUGAAAUGCUUAGAUAUCACGAAGAACUCCGAUUGCGAAGGCAGCUCACUGGACUGCAACUGACACUGAUGCUCGAAAGUGUGGGUAUCAAACAGGAUUAGAUACCCUGGUAGUCCACACAGUAAACGAUGAAUACUCGCUGUUUGCGAUAUACAGUAAGCGGCCAAGCGAAAGCAUUAAGUAUUCCACCUGGGGAGUACGCCGGCAACGGUGAAACUCAAAGGAAUUGACGGGGGCCCGCACAAGCGGAGGAACAUGUGGUUUAAUUCGAUGAUACGCGAGGAACCUUACCCGGGCUUAAAUUGCAGUGGAAUGAUGUGGAAACAUGUCAGUGAGCAAUCACCGCUGUGAAGGUGCUGCAUGGUUGUCGUCAGCUCGUGCCGUGAGGUGUCGGCUUAAGUGCCAUAACGAGCGCAACCCUUAUCUUUAGUUACUAACAGGUUAUGCUGAGGACUCUGGAGAGACUGCCGUCGUAAGAUGUGAGGAAGGUGGGGAUGACGUCAAAUCAGCACGGCCCCUACGUCCGGGGCUACACACGUGUUACAAUGGGGGGUACAGAAGGCAGCUAGCGGGUGACCGUAUGCUAAUCCCAAAAGCCUCUCUCAGUUCGGAUCGAAGUCUGCAACCCGACUUCGUGAAGCUGGAUUCGCUAGUAAUCGCGCAUCAGCCACGGCGCGGUGAAUACGUUCCCGGGCCUUGUACACACCGCCCGUCAAGCCAUGGGAGCCGGGGGUACCUGAAGUACGUAACCGCAAGGAUCGUCCUAGGGUAAAACUGGUGACUGGGGCUAAGUCAUA
This 1446-nucleotide ribosomal RNA is filed under the name uncultured organism. RNAcentral's name for it is "SSU rRNA". It matches the Rfam family "Bacterial small subunit ribosomal RNA". The record is from RNAcentral.